UCUUGGCAAAUAGAUCCCACUCUCUGAGGGUUGUGUUGGGGCUCAGAAAAUACUACCCCGAAGUAUGACACUUUGGCAUGCUGAAUACUUUGAACUAAAAGAGAUUGGAAGGCCUCAGAAGCAGCCUCGGAAGCAGUCUCUCCCUCUGAUCUCCUGCCCUUCUGUCUCCUGCCCAUCUUUCGUCCCAGAAGUGAGUCACAGAAACCAGAAUUCUUCCCCAAGGGAGGAUUCCUACAUGGAGUGGGAGACUGAAAUAAUAACCUCAAAGAUGCCUUCCAAUCAGAAGAUUUGGUGAUUCUUUCUGAGUUAUCAAACUGCCUUCCUUUGACCUUGCUCACAUGUAGAAAUCCAAGUCAGGGUCAUGUGAAGAGGUCUUUACACAUAGACUCUAACUAUGACAUCAAUCCUGAAACUGGGAGAGGACAAACCUGAGAUAAAAGCCUCCUAAAGAAUCACAAAAAGAAAGACCCUAGCUGUCUGAAUGAUCUGAGCUAAGUCCCCAGACGUGCAAGUGUGGCCAUCCUAGACCACUGAGCUCCAGCCAAGCCAGCUUGCAUCAGAAGAACUGUCCAGAAAACUCACAGAAUCAUAAGAAAUAAUGCAGGGCAGCUUAACUUGGACUCACCACCUAUCAAGUGCUCGACAGCCACGUGUGCAGUGGUUCCUACGUGGAGCAGCAUACAUCCAGAGAUGCAAAUAUUAAUGAGGACAGUGCUAGUAACAGAGUUGCUGAGCAAUCUAUGUCCCCUUGUAAGAACCAGUGCCCCAGGGGAAGAAACAGAACUCCACAAGGUAGCAGUGUGGGUGUAGUACCCGCAUGUGCCCAUGUUAUGGGAAUGUAGAUGGGGAGUGACCACCGCCAACAGAAGUGUGGCCAUCUUGCCCGAGAUGCCUGAGGACCUCCUAUUUUUAGAUGCUGCUGCCCAAGGCCUGUAUUUCAUGCUAUGGCUUUUGUCAUUUGAAUUAUCAGUAGCUGUCUCGGAGCUAUUACGCUUCACUGGGCCCUGGAGGAUAUUGUCUUAUACAGUCCACUGGGUUUUGGAUAUGCAGUCUGUGCCUUGCAUUCUCUGUGCCAGCAGUGACAAAGGAAGAGAGUCUGUGGUCUCAUAGAGCUUAUCAUG
RNAcentral lists this long non-coding RNA (1121 nucleotides) under Homo sapiens (human). RNAcentral's name for it is "long non-coding RNA NONHSAT161748.1". The record is from RNAcentral. Lineage: Eukaryota; Metazoa; Chordata; Mammalia; Primates; Hominidae.